AGGGUAAAACGGUCGAUGUAUU
This 22-nucleotide small nuclear RNA is filed under the name Arabidopsis thaliana (thale cress). Its description in RNAcentral is "snRNA_11523". The record is from RNAcentral. Lineage: Eukaryota; Viridiplantae; Streptophyta; Magnoliopsida; Brassicales; Brassicaceae.